RNAcentral lists this long non-coding RNA (226 nucleotides) under Gallus gallus (chicken). Lineage: Eukaryota; Metazoa; Chordata; Aves; Galliformes; Phasianidae. The record is from RNAcentral.
CUUGGGGUGACGCCUUCAAUACCAAGGGGGUUGUUUUACUGGACACAAACACAGCUGACUUGUUCUUCUGCCCUUUCUUCUUGGCUCCGUCGGUGAUUGGUGGCAAAACCAACUCGUGGGCUGCGAGUUUCCUCUCUGCCGCCGCCUUCUGCCACGUGCUGCCAACCCUUCUCUUCGCCUCCGCCGCAGCACUCGGGCCCGGGCCCUUCGCGUCCAUCCCCUGGAC